AGCAGACGUAAUCAACCGGAAAAGGCCAUUUGCAGUUUGGUUUCCGUACACGGCAAUCCAGCGGCUAUGGUGCCAACUUGAGGAACUCAUCAAAAUGGGUCACAUGGUAGAUCAAUGCGAUAAACUUAAAAGACUAUUACAUGGAGCCUUGCUGAGACAUCUUACGCUGUCAAAGGUGGACUCCGAUGAUGCAUCUGCUGCUGUUUAAAGAUAAAAGCAAAAUUUUUAUCAGCCAAGAAACCCUAAUUAUCUCUUAAGCAUUCGAAUAUGCCUCAAUCCCCAUGUUGAUUUUUGCAUCAUUGUAUGUAUCGGGCCUCGUUACAAAUGUAAUAUUAAGCUUCGUAUAUUUGCAUUCCAAUACAAUUUAAUUGCAGUUACCUUUUGUAGUUUAGAAAGCUCAAGAAUUCUACUUGUGAAUAAUCAAAAUAUUGGAGACUGGUGGAUUCAAGUACUAAAA
Morus notabilis is the source of this 457-nucleotide long non-coding RNA. RefSeq lists it as uncharacterized. The transcript has 2 exons. Lineage: Eukaryota; Viridiplantae; Streptophyta; Magnoliopsida; Rosales; Moraceae. The record is from RefSeq and is a predicted model, not a curated record.